This 451-nucleotide ribosomal RNA is filed under the name HMWdDNA-degrading marine bacterium 26. RNAcentral's name for it is "bacterial SSU rRNA". It matches the Rfam family "Bacterial small subunit ribosomal RNA", at positions 12 to 468 of the family's 1533-position model. The record is from RNAcentral. RNAcentral also lists the same sequence under 4 other names.
UUUGAUCCUGGCUCAGAUUGAACGCUGGCGGCAGGCCUAACACAUGCAAGUCGAGCGGUAACAUUUCUAGCUUGCUAGAAGAUGACGAGCGGCGGACGGGUGAGUAAUGCUUGGGAAUAUGCCUUAGGGUGGGGGACAACAGUUGGAAACGACUGCUAAUACCGCAUAACGUCUACGGACCAAAGGGGGCUUCGGCUCUCGCCCUUAGAUUAGCCCAAGUGGGAUUAGCUAGUUGGUGAGGUAAUGGCUCACCAAGGCGACGAUCCCUAGCUGGUUUGAGAGGAUGAUCAGCCACACUGGAACUGAGACACGGUCCAGACUCCUACGGGAGGCAGCAGUGGGGAAUAUUGCACAAUGGGCGCAAGCCUGAUGCAGCCAUGCCGCGUGUGUGAAGAAGGCCUUAGGGUUGUAAAGCACUUUCAGUAAGGAGGAAAGGUUAGUAGUUAAUACC